CAGAUUCCCACGACAUCUGGAUUCACGCAUCCCGAGUGAAGUUGUCCAAAGAGGGGAACCAAGGAAGACAACACCACUCCUCACUCGGAUACAGAAGAAUUUCCCCUUAGCGAAGCAUCAUGGCUUUCACACCAUAUCGUAGAUUGAGAGGAUCAUACGAACCUGAGAUCAAGAUUAUGUUUUGCGCUAUGCCUUCUGGAGUUGCUAUACUCCCUCUGCUAUUGUUCCUUG
This is a non-coding RNA of Pelobates cultripes (western spadefoot toad), 231 nucleotides long. The record is from the annotation of a GenBank genome assembly. NCBI's taxonomy places the organism in Eukaryota, Metazoa, Chordata, Amphibia, Anura, Pelobatidae.